Molecule: long non-coding RNA, 15622 nt
Filed under: Medicago truncatula (barrel medic)
Lineage: Eukaryota; Viridiplantae; Streptophyta; Magnoliopsida; Fabales; Fabaceae
Description: long non-coding RNA (MTRU_LNC007736)
Source: RNAcentral
GAUAAACUGGGUGUGGAGUGUAGGGAGGAUGAACUGGUGGAGAGUGGUAAACUGGUUUUGGAGUGUAAGGAGGGUGAACUGGUGGUGGAGGGGAUGAGUAUUUGUAUGGCUUCUUUGGUGGUGGUGGAGAGUGGUAGUAGGGCUUAGGGCUGACGUGAUGCACUGGUGGAGGAGGAGAGGAAUAUUUGUAUGGCUUCUUUGGUGGUGGUGGGGAAUGGUAGUAAGGUUUAGGGCUUAACAUGCACUGGUGGUGGAGGAGAAGAAUAUUUGUAUGGUUUCUUUGGGGGUGGUGGAGAAUGGUAGUAAGGUUUAGGGUGGACAUAUGGUGGAGGAGGAGAAGAAUACUUGUAAGGUUUCUUUGGUGGUGGUGGUGGUGAACUGUAAUGGUAGGGAGGAGGAGGUGUAUAAACGGUGGGGGUGGAGAGUGGUAGUAGUAUGGUUUCUUAGGUGGUGAGUACACUGGUGGUGGUGGUGAAGAGUAAUGGUAAGGUGGUUUAACUGGAGGGUACACCCCCGGUGGUGGGGAAUGUGGAGGGUACACCUUAGGUGGUGGUGGAGAACUAUAAUGGUAAGGUGGUGAGACUGGUGGAUACACCUCAGGUGGUGGUGAAUGUGGAGGGUAUUUCUUAGGUGGUGGUGGGGAAGAGUAAUGGUAAGGUGGUUUAACUGGUGGGUACACCUUGGGUGGUGGUGAAUGUGGAGGGUACACCUUAGGAGGUGGUGGUGAAGAGUAAUGGUAAGGUGGUGAAACUGGAGGAUACACCUUAGGUGGUGGUGAAUGAGGAGGAUACUUCUUAGGUGGUGGUGGUGAAGAGUAAUGGUAAGGUGGUGAAACUGGAGGGUACACCUUAGGUGGUGGUGAAUGUGGAGGGUACACCUUAGGUGGUGGUGGUGAAGGGUAGUGGUAAGGUGGGGAAACUGGAGGGUAGACCUUAGAAGGUGGAGGAGGUGAAGAAUACAAGUAGCUGUUUGCUGAAAUUUGAGAUGUAUGGAGAGAGACACUAUUAUGGCUAAUAGAAGAGUCAAAGUGGCAGAGGCCAUUGGAGACCUCAUUUUUUUUUUUUUGUUCUCUUGUUGCCUUAACCUCACUAGAUAGUGGGAUUUUGAUAUGCUAUAAUGUAACCAAGUGAUGCCCUUUAUAUAGAUCUUUUAUUUACCUACUAGUACUAAUCAUGUUGGUUGGUAACUUUGUUUUCAACUUGUCAAAAUUUUGUUGCCAAUAAGGCGUUGCCGUAUCUUUUUUUAAUUAAAAGUCAAUAAUAUUCAAACACAAGUUUUCAUUAAACAAAAACUAACUUACUUUUCUGAAUAGGUUGAUUUAAUUGGAAAAAAGGGAGGAUAAUUUAUACAAAAAGAGAAGUUGUAUUCCCUAUAUUCGGUAUCAUAAAAAGAAGAGAAACAAUUAUUAAAGCAAAUUUUGGUUAUUUUAUUUUAAUCAAUUUUUUAAAAUUAUUAAAAUGGACAGUGUUUAAUUAAACCAUUUUUUACCUCAAUAUCCCAAGUGAGCUUUGGAGUGCGUAUUUGGAUUUGAUGUAGGCUGCAAGCUUUUAGCAGGAAAUAAAAUAUCUUGAAAUAUCUCAAAAUAAAACAAAAUGGACAGAAAUCCGUAAGUGUAGUUCAGUUGAUAGCUACCAGAGAUAAUGUUUAUAAGGGUUGGGGUUCAAAUCCCAAAUUCCCCACACUAGACUAUUGAAAAAAAAAAAAAAAAAAAAGACAGAAAAUAUAAAAUGUGUUAAAUUGAUGUAGAUUAUUGGAGGUGUUAAAAAAUCAUCAUUGUAUUCUAAUGCCUAAUUUAUCUUCUCCACAUAUCUUUUACUGUUCUUGAAAAAUGCAUGCAUAGAGACCUAACUUCGUGCUAUAUUCGUCUGUCCCUUGAAGACUUUUCAAAAAGACUCGUACACCAGGGCCCAUAUGCAUGGCAUAGCAGCCUCAAUUAUAGGACGAUAAUUUUACGUGAAAUUUUUAUUAUUACUUUAUACAAAUAUUUAUUUAUUUAUUAAAAUUUUACAUAUUUACUUUUUUAAAGUAUAGACAGAAAUUUUUUCAUUUAAGUAAAAUUAAUUUCGAUGUUAUUAAUUCAUUUCCUUUCAUCCUAUCAAAUUAAUGAAUACUAUCCUUGUUGGUAGGCAGAGUCUAGAAUAUUCUAGAUUAGUAUAUACACUUCUAGCUACCUAUCACAAAUUUUGCAUGCAUUUAAAUGAUUUAUCAUGGCAUCGUCUCAGGCUUGGUCCUUUUCAGAUAAAGACAAAAGUUAUGUCUCUGUUUACUUUUAAGCCAAAGUUUUUUUUUACUCUUGUGUAAAGUAAAGUAUAUGACUUUUGAUAUACGGAUAGGAUUCUGGGUUCAAUUGGAUAUAAUUUACCCCGAGGUAUAUAACUAUUUUCUUAUAUUGUUGUUGCUUUUCUAAAACUAUCAAUAAUGAAAGAGAAAUGAUAUUUGUACAACCAUUUUUUAUAAUUUUUAGAUAAAAAUUUCUCUUUCAUAUUCACAUUAUAUUCUUACCCUCUCUCUUCCUUUUUCUCUCUCCUUUGUUUUUAACCAAUGAAAAAAGAGAAAAAGAAGGUUGUCAAAAAGGUUGUACCAAAUGGUUGUUCAAAUAUCAUUGCUCUAAUGGAAAGGUCUUAAUAUCAUCUUUAUUUAGUCUCGUUUUGGAAAAGUGAUUUAAAAUCUGAUCCGAUCAUAACGAUUUUUACAUAAUAACAUAGAAACGCAUAAAAAAAAUAUUCGAUUUUUUAUGAUUUUUUUGUUUUUUGAUCGAUUUGCAGUUUUAUUUUGAAUCGGCUUGUAUUUGAACACCCCUACUUCUUACUCAUCCACACAAGGUAACUCGAAUCAAGGUUGAGAAGAAUAAUUAUUUGUUGAAUCUACCAUUUGUGGUGGACUAAUCUUUUAAAUUUCUCGUAAUAGUUCUUUUUACUUUCAUUCAGGUAUUCCUUAUCUGUUUCUGAUGUAACUUGAUUUUUCUCUUUGCUUCUCUCUAGUAUACUUUGUGUAGGGCAAGAAGUAAAGAGGUUUAGUUAUGGAAAUUCCAUAUUAGCUUUUUUAAAAUAAAAAAAAAUAGAACAAUUUGUUUCACCAUUUAAUUUUUAUAAUUAUAUUAUAAAUAGAGAGAUUAAAGUAAAGUUGACUAAAAAAUUCGAGUAGCUAAUAAGCUCGUACUUCCUCUAAUUCUUAUUAUACGAGAAAAUUUGUUUUUCAGAUUCAUUCACUAAAUAAUGUACCAUGUUUCUAAUAUAAAAUAAAUACAUCAUUUAUUGAAUCUAAAAAAUCAACUUUCUUUGAUAAUUGAGACCCAGGGUAGAACAUGGCAAGGGUUGAUUAUAGAAAAAUGCUAAAGAGUGUCUACACUUAAAAUGGUAAGAAAUUUUGAAAAUCUAUAUAACUAUUGCAUUAGAAAUAAAACUCUUUGACUUUUUAAUGAAUUUCUAAAUUAUAAAUUAUUAAAAAAUGUCAUAGAGACACUUGUUAGCGAUAUGAUCUGUUAUACUCUAUAGGUCGCGUCCUUUUUUUUUUUUUUGACAAGUGGGUCGCGUACCUAUUCUUAAUCAAUCAAAAAUAUGUUGGAUAACAUAUUUAAUUCACCGUUGAACAAGAAUAAUGUUUUUUUAUUUAUUGUAUCAAAGAAUAAUGUAUUUUAUUCACCGUACUAAUAUUAUAAAAAAAAAUAAAAAAAAUCGACCGUCGUUCUUUUAAUUUUUCUGUCCUAAAAAAAUACUCAGUUUAAACGAGCAAGCAUAUAUUUUCAAUAUCUAAUUUUUUUCUCAAUUUAUAUUCCACUCAUAUCAUAUCAUAUAAUAUACUUAUUUUUGGUCAAAAAAAAUAUAAUAUACUUAUUUAUAACAUUAAUCACAUCGUUGACUUAUUUCUUUCUCUUUCAAGAUACUGAGGAGAUUUUCUUUAUAAAAAAAAAAAAAAAAAAAUCCAUAUUGAGGAGAUGUAUGCAUAUGUACACAAAUCAUUAAAAGUGUAAUUGAGUUGUGUAAAACACAAAAAACUGCAGAGAUGGGAACAAAUAAAUUAAUAGAAACGGCAGCUUAGUUCAUGCUCUUACAUCAGUAAAAAAUUAGGUGGGAGUUAUUAUUUUUCCACAGAUUAGCAUAUAUAUACCCCACAGGUCCAUAUCAUUUUUCCCCUUAAAAAAAGUCCAUGUUACUUUUGUUUCAAUGUAUCCAAACUAGGAAAAGUCCGGAAAAUUAGAUUUUACCUAGGCAACAACACAUCACCAUUAAUUAUUUUUUCCAUUUUUUUAGUUUUCCAUGUUUUAAGAUUUUUUAUCUUUACUAAAAGAAUCAAUAAAUUCUAAUAUCUAUCUCAUUACACCUAUUUUUUUGUUACAUGAGAUAAAAAAGAACAAAGACACAAAAAAAUGAAAAGAAAAAAAUUAUGCCCUAAUAAAGUACACAUCAACCUUAUCCCCGUGAGCUUAACUCAGUUGGUAGGGAUAUUGCAUAUUAUAUGCAAGGGCCGGGGUUCGAACCCCGGACACCCCACUUCUCCACAAUUAAAUUGUGUGAACUCUAGCCACUAGACUACUUGACCAAAAAAAAAGUACACAUCAACCGUGUCAAGUAAUAAAUUAAGCCCUAAUAAGAAGAAAAAAAAAACAAAAAAUUAAGCCCUAAUAAAUUCCAAUAUCUCAUCACAACUAUUUUUUACGAGGGAAACAUGUCUAAUGUAGAUAAAAUAUAAUUGGUGCAAGUUUGUGAAUUUAGAUUAUGUUUUUUAAGAAGGUAAACUAAAUUAUCAAAAUUGACAUAAAAGAUAAUCAAACAUGAGACUCGAAAUAUACUUUCACAGUUUUUAAAAUUUCAAUUCAAAUUUAGAUUAUAUUCGAUUACAUCUAGAUCACAAAAGUAUAAAUUGAAAAAAUAUAAAAAAAAAAAAAAAAAAACUUUCUAAGAGCAUUACAACUUUAAUGUUAGAGGUGGCCUUUAAUUUGUUUAACCGUGUGUAGUUUUUGUUUUGUUUCGUUUUUGUUUGUUUUUCAUCCUUUUAUUUUGGGUUAGAUUUUUCUUCUCCUUGUAUUUUUUUUUUCUCAUUUAUUUUGAUAUAUUUUAAAAUUAUAAAGAACAACAGCAAUAAUAAUAAAUUAAUUGCCCUUAAAACAUUUUAAAACCGUCACUAGCAAGUUAAGGGAAGUCACCAACCACACAAUAAUGACCCUUAGGAUAGUUUAUUGAUUUAAGUCAUCAGAAGUAAGAAGAAAGAAGAAAGGGAAGGCACCAACCCAAACAAUGAUAUUCGAUGAUCAUGACUAAAAAAGGUUUAACUUUCAUAUCCAACCCCUGCAUAUGCAUAUGCUUGACUUUAAUAUUGGGAUAUGAUCCAAUAUUUUGCAUCAUGCAUAAGUUAUUUUUUUCAUCGUUAGAUAAAAAAAAUGUCACACCAUUGCACCAAAAAAAAUCACAUUAAAUUUAAGGGUUAAAUAUGUUAUUGGUCCCUAUAAAUAUACCAAUUUUUCGUUUUAGUCUCUCUAAAAUUUUCCUUCAACUUUUAGUCCCUAAAAAAUUUUCCAUCUUCACUUUUGGUCCUUCUUUUAAAGUAAACUCAUAUGUAGAAUUCAUAUUUUUGAAUCAAAUUUUUCAGAAAAAUUCAUAAUAUUAUAAGAAUCUCUCCCAAAAAAAUUAGAACUUUUUAACAAAACAUGAAUUUAAUAUGAAUUUUUAUAUUAUUUAUGGUUAAAAAUUCAUAUAUAAUUUAUGUUUACUUAAAAAAUUCUAAUUUUUUUUUUGAAAUGUUUUUACAAUAUUCUACACAUUUGUGUACAAUUUCAUUAAAAAAAAAAUACUAAAAUUUACUUUGAAAUAGGGACCAAAAGUAGUGACUCAAAAUUUUACAGGGACUAAAAGUUGAAGGAAAAUUUAAGAGGGACUAAAACGAAAAGUUGCUAUAUUUAUAGGGACCAAAAACAUAUUUAACCCUAAAUUUAAUAGUAAAAUAUAUUGAUCCGAUAAUAAAAACUAAUUUAUGUAUGUUGUAAAAUUUGUUUCAUUUAUAUACAGUAGGAUUGACAUAUCAUUUGCUAGAGUAAUGUUUCUUGGACACCUUAUAUAUGUAUGGCACACUUAUUUUACACUAAAAAAUAAAAUAUUUAAUAUAUAAAAACUGUUUUUUUUUCCUUCGAAAUGAUAAAAAUUGUUUAUUUUUUAUAAUAAUAUCACUUAUGGUGGAAGACGGCCGAAAACAUGCCAUAACAUAGAGCUCCAUCGACCAUCGAAACUUCACCAUCGAUCAUCGUUGAGUCACUAAAGCUCUUCCACCGACCACCUUGGAUCGUUAGAACUCCACACCAUCGGCCAGCCACCAUCAAUAUUGAGGUGUCAAACAAGUGUCCCUAUAUAUGAACCGUUUACAAAGGAAGAAACAUAACAAUGUAAAGGGUUAGAAAAUGCUUUGGAAGAGAAGAUAACAAAAACAAAACAUAGAGGAAGAAAGCAGAGUAUCUGAAAGAGAUGAGCACAUGAUCUGCGACGACAACAGAGGAAGAGAUGAAGAGCUCGUGUGAGAAGAUAAAGAGUUUGAAAAAUUUAGGGUGUAUAUUAAAACAAAAAGUUGAAAUAUUUAUAGAGACUAAAAACAUAUUUAAUCAACAAAAGUUUAUAAAGAGUUGCAUUGCACCCUUCAUCUUACAAACCGAUUUUAUGUGGUUGAGUUGCACUCAAUAUAAAAACCUAAUAUGGUAAUCGUUUGGGACCAUCUAUCAUUUAUAUCCACGCAUCAAACUCAAUAAUGUCAGGUGUGAUUUUAUAUUUUAUAAAGAGCGACUUCCAUCACCAUACAUAUCAGUUUUGUAAGAAUGCCGACUGAACAUAAAAACCUAAUAUCUAGUUACAUAUUUCAUUAAAAUAACACAUUUUGCACAUAUCACACAUCCAUUAUUUAUCCAAAAAAAAAAUCACACAUCCAUUAUACUUUUGCGCUUAAACCAUUAUAUUUUACAACUAAAUUAUAUAUUUUAUCUGUCUCAUUAUAAAUGUAUUAUUCGUUUUUUAUGUCUCAAAACUUUAAAAUAUCAAUAAACAAUUGAUUUACUUUUUAUUAGCCUAAAAAAAGUAAAAUUAAUAAGCUUUUGUAAUAAUGAAAUUCUCUUUUAUCAUUAAAAUUAACCCAACUAAUUAUUUACUUAAAAGUCGCGCCCAAAUCAAAACUCUUAUACUGGGAUAUCUUCAUCUUUGUUUUGGCCUAAAAUUUGGAGCAGCAAAUACUUCAUUUUAUGUUUUAUUUAAAUGGACAUAUUGGAUAAAUUACAGGCCGUGAAAUAUCAUGUCACAUACUUUUAUUUUCUUACAUACACCAUAUUAGUCAUUCAAAGUUCGUAUGAAUCUGCAAAAUCUAGUUUAAUUGUCAAUGUUGAUAUUGUUGGACUAGACAUAAUCAUUCGGAUUCUAAUAUGAUAUCUCAUAGUUGUGUUGUAUAUGAAUUUAUUUAUGUUGAUGUUUUUCAAUUUGUGUACAAAAAAGAAAAUGGAGGAGUUCUUUAGAAUAGUAAGAUAGGUUUAUAUAUAUGAAAGUAGCAUGUGAUUUUUUUUACUAUAUAGUACUUUUUUUAACUAUACAAUACUUGUAAGUUAAGGAAUCAAUCAUGCAAAUUAAAAUUAUAAUAUGAAUAUGUAAUUUAUAAUGAUUGUGUAUAAAUCAAUUAACAGAGAAAGCAGAAGACUUGUCAAAAAAAAAAAAAAGAGAGAGAAAGCAGAAGAUAUAAUAUGAAUAUGUAAGUUAUAAUGAUCGUAUAUAAAUCAAUUAACAGAGUGAAAGCACAAGAUAUGGACCUAAGAUCCUAUGGAAAAAUAAAAUAAAAAAAGAAAAAGAAGAAGAGACGAUUUAAUUUGAUAGCUAUACCAGCCCCAAAAGCAUAACAAAAUAUUAUAUUUUAAAACAUAAAUUGAGUAUCCAUUAUUACCAUUAUGCAACACUUUUAGUUUUCCUCAUGUCGCCUAGCGGGUAGAAAACUUGGAACAUAAUUGAUUUUUUGUUUUUGAAGGAUUGGAACAUAAUUGAUGAGGAGCUACAAGAUAACCUUUUCACUAAAAAAAUUCAAAAAGAAAAGAGAGAGAGCUCCAUUACACGUGAAAAAGAAAAAGUGGAUCCGGAUAUUCGUAAGACAAAUAGAUUAAAAAAUAAUUCCUGGCAAAAAAUAAAAUUUACUCAAAGAUAACUAUAUUUUAAAAAAUAAUGCUGUGUCAAAUAAUUGGAUUUUGGAAUAUUAUCAUAUCUUAAAUAAAGUUUAUAGAACGAUUCAUCAUUGAUCAUGUUUAAACUCGAUUACUUGGUUGAAGAUACAUUCCUUUAACAGUAGGGUAACAAAAGUAUUAAAUAUGACCCCUAAAAAAACAUAUAUUAAAUAUCAACCUAGUUACCGACAGAGAAAGAAAGGAUUACAUGCAACGACGUGCUCAUAAAGGAUCCAACGGCCACAAUUUGAUUAGAUAUUGUUGUCAAAAAUGUGACCAAGUAACUACGUGGUACAUGCACGUCACAAAUGGUAACAAAUGCAAAAGUCAAAGUAGAUUCACAUCAAUCAAUUCCACAAUACGUGUCCUUUGUGUUUGGUUUGUAGUUUUCUGUGAAGGUUCCCAGUUUGAAUGAAUACUUGCAAACAAAGUCCAAAAAUAUUGAUAGGGAAACCAUAGAAAGGUUAUCGAAAUUGAAUUUUAAUAUGUAAUAAUACGUACAAAUUUGUGUUUUAAGAUGUUACAAAUGAACGAAGAAACAGAAUAUGAUGCUACCAUUCACAUGCAUCAUGUGUUUUUCGUGCUUUUUUCCUUCGCACUAUAUAACAACAUUCCUCAAAAUGAAUCAACUCGUUUGUUCAAAUUUUGAAAAAUUCGUGAAUGAGACUACGUUGAUUCGGAUAGCUUGGAUUAUUGAGGACUGUUAUAUAAAACGAAAAAUGCCUCAUGAAUUAAUCUUUAGAGCCAAUCAAAUUUGCUUCCGGGCGGAAAACACGGGGGGUGGGAUGUUAAGUUGUGUUGAUAUAUUUUUCAACGUCAUGUGAUAUACAUCUUUGGGAUGAUUUCGCUUUCCCUUUCUAGCUAUACAUAUCAUUUCCCUUGCUGAUAAAUUUGAGUAGAUUUGUUUCGUUUGGCAUUUAGUAAUUUUGAGAUUAUGACAAACAUUUUUGAAAGUACAAGUAAAAAAAUGCUAUUUUUUUUUUCAAUACUAUCGUAGAAAGAUUAAACUUUAGAAGAAAUUACACUUGUAUUUUUGGAUAGUUUUAAAUCUUUAAGAAGUUAGAAUUUUGUUAAAAAAUUUAGCUUGAUAACCUUAGAAGUAUGGAUUCGUGAUGACUUUUGUAAUAUUACUUUUUUUUGUUUUGUUGCAACGUUAGAUUUUUGAAGUUUUAACAAAAAUAACAAUCAAAGUAACAUUGUCAUUGUGAUAUCGUCAAUUAUACACUAAUUUGAUAUUGAUCCAUCAUCUGAUAUGAAGACGUACAUGCAUGAUGUGUCAAAAUAAUUUUUAUGUCAAAAUAGCUUUGGUAGUUUCAAAAUCAAGAUCAUUAGUUAAACUUGAAUAAUCUCUCCCAUCCAAAUGUUUUUGGAUCUGAUUUUGUUGGAACACUCAACCUCAAAGAUCAUUUAAUUUUCGAGGUAUUUGUUUGCAUGCUAAUUUUUAGUGAAAAAGAUUGAUGGACACCCAAUGCAUCUCUCUCUCUGGUUGAAAAUGUAUGACACGUCUAUGGAAUUGGUGGAUGAAAUGUUUAAAUAUCACCAUCCUAAUUUUUUAGAAGGAUUCGAGAUUUAAUGUUUACAACUGUGUUUGAAAAUUUUGGGGUCUUAGGGUGCGUUUGUUUUGCUAAAAAAUGAAAGACAAGACAGAACAACUCUAAUUGUCCAGUGUUUAAUUUGUAAAACUGUUUCAGGUACAUGACAACUUGGAGGCAAGGGACAGGACCAAAACUCAUAUUUUUGUCCCUCACCAAACCACAUCACAACUUUUUGUCCCACGUACAAGUUGUCUAAAAUAGCAAAAUAGUUUUUAUUCCUCAAAAAUCGUAUAAAACAAAAAAUUACUCAAUGCCAUAAAAAAUUUGUCAUGUGUUGUUCUACCUUGUGUUGUAUUGUUCUAUCUUCUACUGUUCUGUCUAGUACUUGCUGUUUUGCAAACCAAACACAUCCUUAGAGUUUUGACAAGAUAAAUUAAUUACUCAAUAAAUCUAAAAAAAUCAAAUAUUUUUUAUAAAUAGGACCGGAAGGAAUACUUAAUUGUAUGCAAUGCCUCCCAUGUUUUUCGGUAAUGACCAAAUUCAAUUAGCUAAGCACUUUUCGGGAUGAUUUCUCCCGCGAGCAAUAGCAUUGCUAAAAAAAAUAUACAUACAUAAACUAUCAGUUUCAUACUAUUAAUCUUCUGAUUUGUUUUAGCCACAAUUUUAUAAUCAAGCAUUCUUAACAUUUCAUUCUUAGUAAAUAAAAUCUUUAAUUUACUAAAUCUGUUGAUGAUCUUAGAUAGAUUUGGAGAAAAUAUUAAAAAGUUAAACUAUAUUUGUAUGUAAAGGAGUAAAUAAUAGUUUUAUCAAUGUAAAAAAAUUAGUAAAUACGAUUUAUUGGGUCAAUUAGCUUAAUUGCAAGAAUCACAUCCUUUUUUAGUGUUCCUUUCUUUUGAGAUAUAUCAGGAAUUACUUAUAUAUGAAUAGAAGGCAAACGAACAAUAAGAUGCGUCGAUAGAUCUUUUUGAAUGACACAUACCUUAAACGCAAAGAAGUGAGAAAUCACAUACAUCGAAUAAUUCUACAACUAUCAAUUAAGUUGUGCGCACCAUUAAUUGAUGAUUACACUUCAAUCAACCUUUGGAAAGUUGUUACAAUGUUAAUUGAUGAUUACACUACAAUGACACACUUUUAAAAAAAUUGUGGUACACGGUUAAUUGAUGAUUCCAUUACGAGGAGACUUUUACAAAAGAGGAAUGUUAGCAACACUCUCUUUUGAACACUCUCUCUAGCACUCACUCUUUUCUUGAGUGAAAUUAAUGUAUGUCCCACCACUUUAUGUGAGUUGUAUUUCCAAAGUGUAGGUCCUACAUUAAUUUUAAUAAAAAAAUGUUUUACGGAAAAUGCUAAUCCUUCGAGGGGAUGGGAUUGAAUGAGAAUUUUAAAGGGGUAACUUUUGCAUAUAUUUGUUAAUUUUUUUAAGUGUCUUAUACUUAUAUUUUGAGUACUGCUAUAUUGUAUGAGAUUUAUCAACGAAAUUCAUGGAAUGCACACUUGUCCAAUUUUUAAGGAAUAAAAAGAGGGUUAUGAAGUUGUUUAACAUAAAUCAUGGAGUAGUGACCAAUUAUUCCGAUCCAUAAGCAUUUUCAUUAUCAUUUUACGGAUUACAUAGGAUUGUUAGCUUUGUGAAUUUGGAAUAAACUGCAUUCGUCAUUUUUCAUUGUGUGUCUCUCUCGUACCAUCAAGCAUUAUCAUUUUUUAGAUGAGUGUUUUUUUUUUGAAGAAAUCCUUACACGAUUUUUUAGGGUUAAGGCCUACUGCCUUAUGGUUUAUAAGGCCAUGCUUUGGAAGACCUGGAUUCUAUAGCUACAGAAUUGUUCUGCAGUUGUAGGAAUUGUUAUGUUAUAUUUCGAGAAAAUCCCAUUCUCCAAUGAUUUAAACACACCCUACUUUGGACCACUUCAUUUGUUUUAACAAAAAUUGGACCACUUCAUUGUAUCAUCUAUCAUGAUCUCGGUGGAAGGUCUCGUUCUCUCUCUCAUAUUUAUUGUACCACUUUAUAAAGAAUCCCAGGAUUUUCUUAAAAGAAUCCAUGACAUGCUUUAUUGGUGUUGACAUCUCAAAUUUCAUUUCAUACUAUUUUUAAGUAAUUUCACCACCGUAAUGACUCAAUUUUAUAUAUAGACAACCAUGUUAUGAAAGUUAUCAAUAAUUUUGAAAAUUAAUAUGAAAAAUUCCUAGCUUCUACAAACCUCAAAAGUGAAAGAUUGAGUUUCAAUGGUGUUUGGUUUGCCUUUUAAGAAUUGUUUCUAUCUUCCAUAAGAAACUCUCCUUAUAGCUACAAUUCAUAGCUUUUGGUUUUCAUAGAAUCAAUUCUACGUUAAAUUUUAUAUUUUCAUUAUUACAACCUAUUAUUUUCCUAUUUUGCCCUUUAUCAAUUCUCCUUCUGUUUGCUUUGUAAUUAACUUGAUGAACCAAAUUUAAUCAGAAAACUUAACGAACCAAAUUAGCCUCCGAAAAAUAUUUAUUGUCAUGAGUUACCAAAUUUUGGAUUUUCUUUUACGGUGUCCCCAUUCAGAUUUAGUGUAUUUUUUCCUUUACCUUUCUUUUACGCUAUAUUUUAUCAUUUUUAGCAACUAACUUUAAUAUUAUUUAACUUAAAUAUAUUUUAUCAAAAAAAUGAAAUAUAUGAACAAAUAUUUUGUAAAAAAAUUAGUUUAAUGAUCGUAUUUAUUAUGUUUUAAAUUAAUAUAUAGAAAAUUUAUUUAUAUUAAAUAAUAUAUCUACAUUUAAUUGAAUUUAGUUAUGUCGUAAUUAUACAUUUAAAAAUAAUUUUGAUAAAAAUUAUCCAAACAACAUUCAGUUUGUUUAAUCAAUUCUACAUUAUUGUAUCCAAAUAUAAACUAAUUCUCUCAAAAUUAAUUCUGUCAUAAUCAAUUUUAUCCAAAGUUUAAUCAAACGCAAAGUAACUUUUCCCAGAGCCAGUUUGUUCAUGUGUAUUUUUCAAUAAAGUGAUUGAUAUGGGAUUAAUAAAUAAAUAGUAACCAUGCACGACGUCAUCAUAGUCACAAUAUAUAUUCAAUCAGCAUUGUAAUGUAAAGGUAUAAAUCCUAUUUUUACGCCAUACUAUAAAUAGCAAAGAUGUGACCAUACAAUGUAAAUUUGAUUUUAACCAAAAUAUAUUGCAUGCACGCAACACUCGAUUAUUAUCAUUAAUUAUGAAAGACAAUCAUAUCCGGUAUACUUUGAAGGUGCCAUGCACUCCAAAUGAAGGAAAAGAAAUGAGUAUAGGCAAUGCUUUAGCACAUGGGGACGAGUAAGGGAUUUAUCUAGAUAGAUGCUGUCCUUUUUCCUUUCCCUCUCUCAUGCAUGGCUCUUGAAGUUAUGAGUGCAAUCAUGUGCAUGUCAUGUACAAACAAAAUCACGAAUAUCAUAUCAAAAGAGUAACGAAAUUUGUAUAAUAUAUGAUGACAAUUUUGUUACUCCUCUGUUCCGCAAUAAAUGACAUAUUUGAAUAUGUGCAAUUUUGAUCUAACUUAUUUUGACCAUAUUUUUCUACUAAUAUACAAAGAUAAAUAAUAUCAUAUAAGAUGUCGUUAGAUUCGUCUCGAUGAGUAUUUUCAAAAUAUCAAAUUUUCAUAAUUUUUUCCAAUAUAUUAUUCAAGAUAUUUAAACUCAAAAUUACGCAUUGAUAUGCGUAAUUGGAUCAACUGUGUCACUUAUUAAGGGACGGAGGGAGUACAAUUUUUUUUAUUGAUAAAAAACAAUAGAAAAAAAAAAAGAGAUGAUAAGAACAUGAGUAUGAGAGAAAGAGAGCUGUUCAAAAGUUAUUACAAAAUGAUUGUACAAAUAUAAGUGUAAAAUACUUGGUAAUAUCGUUUCACCUACGGUGUUAAGUUGGUUAUUCAAUUCUUACAAUGUUCUUGCUAGAGAAAAUGCGAGAACACUCUCAUUUUAAGACAUUUUCUAUCACUUAUUAUUAUCUUAUAUGAUAAAACUUAUAUAAGUUUCAUCACUUUACAUAUGAUUUAUUUUUAAUGUGUGAAACUCAUAUAAGUUUUACACCAAUUAUAAAAGAAUGAGUGUUAAAGAGAAUAUUAAAAAAAUAUUCAUAGCAUUUAUGGUUCUAAUAAAGAGUACUCCUAGUAUCUUCGCUGGACACAUGUGGUAAUUGAGAAAAUGAAAACGAAAAUAAAAAUUAUGCAUUAUUGAUUUUCUAUUUUAAUUAAAAUAAUAUUUUAGUCCAUUCAUUUGUUCUUCUUGUUUUUUUUUUUUUUUUAUUUUACAAAAAGAAACAACAUUCAUUCAUUUACAUUGAUAUAGUAUAUUAAAACCAAGACACAAAUUUAAGAAUUAAACUCAAACCUUAAACGACUAAUAUUGUGAGACGGAGAGAGUAUUGCUAAAAAUGAAAAAAAAUGAUGAAUCUGCAAACAAACUCAUAAUAUCUAAAUGUAAAUUUUGAAUCUAUAAUCAUUUUAAGCUAUGUAAAAAUGAAAAUUUUAUGAGAAGAAUGUAGUAACAUUUCUUUUCUAACUCUAUUCUUCUAAGGCCUUCACUUAAUCUUCAUGCGAAUAAAAACCAAAAUAUUUUGAUAGUAAGAAAUCGUAUUCUCCCUUUUAUGUAUUAAUAAUGUUUCUCUAAUCCGUCAGAAUAAUAUGAGAGUGAUAAUUUGGAGUUCGACUGUGAAGUAAAUAUAAUUGACUAAAAAUAUUUCAUUUAAGAAUUAAACUCGAGUUGUUUCGAAUGAUCUAUAAUUUGGUCGAGUUUAUUAAUCACUUGAACUCAAUUUUUUUGGUGGUGAUUGAGGUUUGAGCCUCAAACCUUGUUUAUAUUAUGUAUUGUCUCUACCAACUCAGCCGAACUCAUGAGGAUAAUCAUUUGAACUCAAUUGUUAAUGGAAAAACGUUUCUUUAAUUAAUUAAAAUUGUUUCUAUUAAAAUGGGAGCACGAUAAUUGCAUUAAUAAUGAAAAUAAAAAAGUACUGGUAUAAUUGAACAAAGGCCCCACUGUAAUUUCCUCAACGAAUGAGAAAGAAAAACAUUAUCCGAUCUAUUAUUGCUAUGGGAAGGACAAGGUACCGGGCAUUUAUGAUAAUUAAUUAAUUUUGCCUUUAUUUAGGGGAUUAAUUUUGCUUUGUUAUGAGUACUUUUCAUAGAUUUACAAUAUGCUUAAACAUGGAAAGGAGAAGACUAACGAGUGUCCCAAAGAUAUUGAUUAAGCAUACAAAACAAAUAAGUUUUCCUAAAAAAUGUGCAUAACAUCUUAUAUUUUUAAGACAAAACUUAUAUUACUAGAUUCCUUAACUAUUGCUUUUGGGGUAUAGGUUAGCAAGAUCCAAAAAGAAAAUAGAAAAAAAAAAGUCAGCAACCAACUACACAAAUGACGACAAGGGAUGACAAAGAUUACACUUUUGAGUAAAUUUAGGAAUUUGCACUUUCCACUUUUUCAAUUUCAGUCUUUUUAUACCAUCUUGGAUAUUACUCCAAUUUUUACCCUUAACCCGGCAGCUUUAAAUAGUCCCUAUUAGUAGCCAUCAGAUUGAUAAAUAGAAACUCAUUGAAUUAAUUUCAACCCAGCAGCUUUAAUCAAAAUUUCGUAUAGUUUGGUGACCAUAUUUAAUAGGUUUAACAACAAUUUUGGCCCCAUAUGUUUUAAUAAGUUGCAAUUUUGGUUCUCUACCAGAAUAAAAUACAAAACCGUCCCUUAAAUAUUACCCUUUUGCAGUUUUGACUCCAGACCAAUUUUGAUCAAGUCAAAGCUGAGUGGACACCACGUAUGCAUUGAUUUGGUCAAAAUUGGUAUGGGGAGCCAAAACUGCAAAAGAGAUAAUACUUAUGGGGCGGUUUUGUAUUUUAUUUUGUUAUGGGUCAAAAUCGCAACUUCUGGAAACAUUGGGGGCCAAAACUGAUAUUAAACCUAUUUAAUAUGAUGUAUACAUCCUUAUGUUUUUAUUAGAGUAAAUAGUCAAUUUCCC